GACGGUACUUGAGGAAUAAGCCACGGCUAAUUCCGUGCCAGCAGCCGCGGUAAUACGGGAGUGGCAAGCGUUAUCCGGAAUUAUUGGGCGUAAAGCGUCCGCAGGCGGCCUCGAAAGUCUGUCGUUAAAGCGUGGAGCUUAACUCCAUUUAAGCGGUGGAAACUACGAGGCUAGAGUGUGGUAGGGGCAGAGGGAAUUCCCGGUGUAGCGGUGAAAUGCGUAGAUAUCGGGAAGAACACCAGUGGCGAAGGCGCUCUGCUGGGCCAUAACUGACGCUCAUGGACGAAAGCCAGGGGAGCGAAAGGGAUUAGAUACCCCUGUAGUCCUGGCCGUAAACGAUGAACACUAGGUGUCGGGGGAAUCGACCCCCUCGGUGUCGUAGCUAACGCGUUAAGUGUUCCGCCUGGGGAGUACGCACGCAAGUGUGAAACUCAAAGGAAUUGACGGGGGCCCGCACAAGCGGUGGAGUAUGUGGUUUAAUUCGAUGCAACGCGAAGAACCUUACCAGGGCUUGACAUCCUGCGAAUCCCUUGGAAACUUGGGAGUGCCUUCGGGGAGCGCAGAGACAGGUGGUGCAUGGCUGUCGUCAGCUCGUGUCGUGAGAUGUUGGGUUAAGUCCCGCAACGAGCGCAACCCACGUCUUUUAGUUGCCAGCAUUAAGUUGGGCACUCUAGAGAGACCGCCGGUGAUAAACCGGAGGAAGGUGUGGAUGACGUCAAGUCAUCAUGCCCCUUUACGUCCUGGGCUACACACGUACUACAAUGCUACGGACAAAGGGCAGCAAACUCGCGAGAGCUAGCAAAUCCCAUAAACCGUGGCUCAGUUCAGAUCGUAGGCUGCAACUCGCCUACGUGAAGGAGGAAUCGCUAGUAAUCGCAGGUCAGCAUACUGCGGUGAAUACGUUCCCGGGCCUUGUACACACCGCCCGUCACACCAUGGAAGUUGGCCACGCCCGAAGUCGUUACUCCAACCCGCAAGGGAGGAGGAUGC
This 990-nucleotide ribosomal RNA is filed under the name uncultured cyanobacterium. RNAcentral describes it as "bacterial SSU rRNA". It matches the Rfam family "Bacterial small subunit ribosomal RNA", at positions 471 to 1456 of the family's 1533-position model. Lineage: Bacteria; Bacillati; Cyanobacteriota. The record is from RNAcentral.